UGGAUAGCUCGCUCAGUACAGCGUGAGACUCUUAAUCUCUGGGUCCUGGGUUCAAGCCCUAAGUUGGGCAA
This is a non-coding RNA of Podarcis lilfordi (Lilford's wall lizard), 71 nucleotides long. NCBI's taxonomy places the organism in Eukaryota, Metazoa, Chordata, Lepidosauria, Squamata, Lacertidae. The record is from the annotation of a GenBank genome assembly.